This 862-nucleotide ribosomal RNA is filed under the name Acrobeloides sp. 29 GVDU-2019. RNAcentral's name for it is "SSU rRNA". It matches the Rfam family "Eukaryotic small subunit ribosomal RNA", at positions 97 to 964 of the family's 1831-position model. Lineage: Eukaryota; Metazoa; Nematoda; Chromadorea; Rhabditida; Cephalobidae. The record is from RNAcentral.
CUCAUUAUAACAGCUAUAAUUUACUUGAUCUUGACACAAUCCUACUUGGAUAACUGUGGUAAUUCUAGAGCUAAUACAUGCAUUAAAGCUCUGACCUCACGGGAAGAGUGCAUUUAUUAGAACAAAACCAAGCGGCUUCGGCUGUUUCUGGUUGACUCAUAGUAACUGAGCUGAUCGCAUGGUCUUGCACCGGCGACGUGUCUUUCAAGUAUCUGCCGUAUCAACUUUCGAUGGUAGUGUAUCUGACUACCAUGGUGAUCACGCGUAACGGAGAAUAAGGGUUCGGCUCCGGAGAGUUCGCCUGAGAAAUCGCGAACACAUCUAAGGAAGGCAGCAGGCGCGAAAAUUACCCACUCUCAGCACGAGGAGGUAGUGACGAAAAAUAACGAGACCGUUCUCUUAUGAGGCCGGUCAUCGGAAUGGGUACAAUUUAAACCCUUUAACGAGUAUCUAUGAGAGGGCAAGUCUGGUGCCAGCAGCCGCGGUAAUUCCAGCUCUCAAAGUGCAUAGAAUUAUUGCUGCGGUUAAAAAGCUCGUAGUUGGAUCUGUGCCAUAGGACGUGGUCCACCUUCGGGUGCGUACUACGCUCCUAGGCUUUUUGCUGGUUUUCCCGUCGUAGCCUUCACUGGUUGCGGCGGGUGGCUGGCGAGUUUACUUUGAGAAAAUCAGAGUGCUCAAUACAGGCGUAUCGCUUGAAUGAUUGUGCAUGGAAUAAUAGAAAAGGAUUUCGGUCCUCUUUUAUUGGUUUUGUGGACUGAGAUAAUGGUUAACAGGGACAAACGGGGGCAUUCGUAUCUCUGCGUGAGAGGUGAAAUUCUUGGACCGUAGAGAGACGCCCUACUGCGAAAGCAUUUGCCAAGAA